GCUGAAACCCUAUUCCCAGUGUGAUAAUAUUAGGAAAUGGGGCCUUUGGAGGGUGAUUAGAAUGAGAUGGAGGUCA
Lynx canadensis (Canada lynx) is the source of this 76-nucleotide long non-coding RNA. RefSeq lists it as uncharacterized. The record is from RefSeq and is a predicted model, not a curated record. The transcript is spliced from 3 exons. Lineage: Eukaryota; Metazoa; Chordata; Mammalia; Carnivora; Felidae.